CCUACGGGUGGCAGCAGUGGGGGAUAUUGGACAAUGGGCGAAAGCCUGACGCAGCAAUGCCGCGUGAAUGAAGAAGGUUUUCGGAUUGUAAAAUUCUGUCCUCUGGGAAGAAAAAAAUGACGGUACCAUAGGAAGAAGCCCCGGCUAACUACGUGCCAGCAGCCGCGGUAAUACGUAGGGGGCAAUCGUUGUCCGGAAUUACUGGGCGUAAAGAGAGCGUAGGCGGGACUACAAGUCUGAUGUGAAAUACCCGGGCUUAACUUGGGGGUUGCAUGGGAAACUGUAGAGCUUGAGUACAGGAGAGGCAAGCGGAAUUCCUAGUGUAGCGGUGAAAUGCAUAGAUAGUAGGAGGAACACCAGCGGCGAAGGCGGCUUGCUGGACUGAAACUGACGCUGAGGCUCGAAAGCGUGGGGAGCAAACAGGAUUAGAUACCCUAGUAGUC
Molecule: ribosomal RNA, 443 nt
Filed under: uncultured bacterium
Lineage: Bacteria
Description: partial 16S ribosomal RNA
Rfam family: Bacterial small subunit ribosomal RNA
Source: RNAcentral